GUUUUACCGGCCGGGGAGUAACACGUGCCUCACCUACCUAUAAGACUGGGAUAACUCCGGGAAACCGGGGCUAAUACCGGAUAAUAUUUUGAACCGCAUGGUUCAAUAGUGAAAGACGGUUUCGGCUGUCACUUAUAGAUGGACCCGCGCCGUAUUAGCUAGUUGGUAAGGUAACGGCUUACCAAGGCGACGAUACGUAGCCGACCUGAGAGGGUGAUCGGCCACACUGGAACUGAGACACGGUCCAGACUCCUACGGGAGGCAGCAGUAGGGAAUCUUCCGCAGUGGGCGAAAGCCUGACGGAGCAACGCCGCGUGAGUGAUGAAGGUCUUCGGAUCGUAAAACUCUGUUGUUAGGGAAGAACAAAUUUGUUAGUAACUGAACAAGUCUUGACGGUACCUAACCAGAAAGCCACGGCUAACUACGUGCCAGCAGCCGCGGUAAUACGUAGGUGGCAAGCGUUAUCCGGAAUUAUUGCGCGUAAAGCGCGCGUAGGCGGUUUCUUAAGUCUGAUGUGAAAGCCCACGGCUCAACCGUGGAGGGUCAUUGAAACUGGGAAACUUGAGUGCAGAAGAGGAGAGUGAAUUCCAUGUGUAGCGGUGAAAUGCGCAGAGAUAUGGAGGACACCAGUGGCGAAGGCGGCUCUCUGGUCUGUAACUGACGCUGAUGUGCGAAAGCGUGGGGAUCAACAGGAUUAGAUACCCUGGUAGUCCACGCCGUAAAUCGAUGAGUGCUGAUGUCGUUCAGGGGGUUUGCCGCCUCUUUAGCUGCUGCAAGCUGAACAGCAUUAAUGCUCCUCCGCCUGGAGUAGUACGAUCCGCAGAUGUUUCGAAUACUCAAUACGCAAGUUGACGGGCGGACGCGGCCUCUAGCGUGUGGGAGCAUGUGAGAUCUGACUCGGAGGCAUCGUCGGAAGCCACCUUAUCAAGUCAUAGACAUCGUUGACAGCUCUAGCAGAUAGGAGGUCCUGCCACUCAGGUGGACAAGCUGAUCAGGUGUAGCCAAUCG
Molecule: ribosomal RNA, 1008 nt
Filed under: Mammaliicoccus sciuri
Lineage: Bacteria; Bacillati; Bacillota; Bacilli; Caryophanales; Staphylococcaceae
Description: bacterial SSU rRNA
Rfam family: Bacterial small subunit ribosomal RNA (bases 1-803)
Source: RNAcentral